This is a non-coding RNA of Cinara cedri, 486 nucleotides long. Lineage: Eukaryota; Metazoa; Arthropoda; Insecta; Hemiptera; Aphididae. The record is from the annotation of a GenBank genome assembly.
AUUAAUACACUAUAAUUUCGCAACGAAAUAUAAAAGCACGAGCGAACGCGUACGGGCUGAGAAUCGAAAAUUUGACCGAUGGAGAGUUUUCUUGGACGGCAGGUGCGCAUGAAAAAAAAAUCUACGCGACAUUUUUUCGGCAUUUCUCGGUCCCGGAAGCCGUACUUCCGAUCAUUUCGCAAAAUGUAUUACGACGUAGUAAUGUGGUACGCGAUCGAAACGUGCGGCUUUACUAUUGAAUUUUCAAUGUUCGUUUUGCGUCUCGCGGAAAAAAUGCGAAACGGCACCCCCGGAGUCGAAUACAAUUUGUUAUAGGUGCGCCGCUUUCGUCCGAUAAUUUACCAUUCUUAUCACUCGCGUGGGUCAUUGCGAACGUUACCGCGUUAACAAUAGUGAUAGCGACGAAUACAAACCGCCCUCGCACGUGCGGAAAACUCUCGCGAGCACCUGUGCACCAGACGAUUGCUACACGGGAUUGGUGACACU